UCCCAAUUUGUGGAAAUAGGAUGUCAGUAAUAAUAUCCAGGAUCGCAGAUACUAGUUUGGGAAAUAACAGAAUGAGGAGCCUGGAAUACAGCCAAAUAUGUCAGCAGAAGUUUUGACAGUGAAAUGGGGUGGGUGGCGUAUCUUCAGAAUUCGAUGUAUUAAUGAGGACACUCCCUGGUAUUUGACUGUGGGAAAGAACUGUCGAAGUACUGACCUUUGUGUUUAUUCCAAUCAAUUUAAUCCCAAUAACACAAUUGAAAUGGCUUAUAGUAAUAAGCUUAAACUUCCCAGACAUUUAUGAUGCUGCCUGACCUGCAGAUCAUCGUUUUGCCUUUUUAGUUUAUUUGAUUUUCAAAGCAACUUACAGCAUUAAUUUCUCAUCGAGUUGCAGAACUGCAGAGGAAUCUAUGACUUGUAGUUACAUGUCCUGGCACUCCCUGAGAUGCCUGCAACCUUAUCAGGUGGACGUUGCCUGGUGUUGGGGAGUGGUUCUAGUGCUGUUCCUGCUGUAUGAAGCUAAAGAUGCCAUUGACAGAAGCACAGGGAAUUGAUGUCCUGGCCCCCCAUUGUUGGUUAUCAGGAGAUAUAGUAAGUCUUGUGUUCAUUAGGUAGCACUCCUGCCUCUGAGUCUGAAGAUCCAGGUUUAAGGCCCUCCUCUUGUCCUGUUAGACAUAGAAGGAACAUUCGUGAUGCAGCUCAAACAGUUGAUACUCAGCCUGCAGAUUCUUCCAACAAUUCCCCAUCCGUUUCCAAAGGAAAUUAAAUUUAAUGUGAUGAUACUGAACAAACAAGCAAAGGUUGUAAGUCAGUCACAGUCCCAGACUUAGUUUGCCUAUCUUAGGUAGCAGCAGGGUCCACCAGUGUUAGGGUGAGGUGUUAAGAAGAGUUUAAAGGUCCAUCUUGGGGAGCUAUGUGUGCAUUCAUUCUCCAUGGCAAAUGUAAUUCUGCAGUGAAAGUGCAGAACAUGCAAUAUUGGUAAAAGUGUCUAUAUAGGUCUCCAGGGUGCUCUCUUGAGCCAGUGUUAGACCCUUUGGGUAUGUGCAAGUAGGAGGCCUAACAAUUGGAGGGGUGGCAAUCAAGAGAGUUUAUUUUAGUAGUACCCUAACAUGAAGUUAGGAGCUUCACCUGGUUCUACUAUAAUUAAAUAAAACUUAUCUUUUGGCAUCUUUGAAAAUGUUUGGUUUGGCUGCCAAGUACCUGACAAUACUAAACAACCCUUGUUUGUGCAGGCUAUGGUCGCCUACAAACAAAUUUUGCAAAGAGAACCUCAAACAGAUGUUAAGCCUUCAAUUUGCAUGCAAAGUGCCAAACACUAUUUCAUGUGUGCACCUGGGUAUCUAUUUAGAUAUCUUGCAUGCUGUGCAUUUGUAAUUCUUUAAUGAUGUGGGUAUGCCUUCUGCCAUAUUGGCCCUUAGACACCCAAUUUAUGGUUAUAAAACAGGCAUGGCCUGAUCCAAUUUCUAGCUCUGCACUUUUACAAAAUGUGUUGGUGAAAGUGAUAUCACAACAUUGACCCUGCAGCUGAUUAGAUUCAGGAAGCACAGGAAGAUAACAUGGAUUUUGCAGUACAACAUGUGUUACUGCUUGACUGUUUUAAAGUUCAUUCUUUUCACAGAAUCAACAAAAUCCCUCCAACUGCUACAAGAUUAACAGGGUCAGCUUCAUGACUGUGAUUAAUCAUAGCAUGUGACUUGGUAUCUCCCACAAACAACAGCCUUUCCAGCAGUGCAUAUGUUCCUGCUAUUCUGGUUGAUCCCACAUUUACAACUAACCUGUCGAUUUCAAAUAAAGCUUUCUUCCCGACCCCCCACUCCCAACCCCACCCCCACACCUUUCUGAGGAUUUAGACAGCCGAUAUGUUCUCCAUUGUCUAGUUUUCUUCCAAGUAUACAACAGAAUUAUCUAAACAAUAUGCUGUGUGAAAUACUGAACUCUGCAUGGUGCAUUGUGAGAAAAUAAAGGAUUGUUAUGCGAUUUUCAUUUA
Long non-coding RNA from Rhincodon typus (whale shark), 1984 nucleotides. RefSeq lists it as uncharacterized. NCBI's taxonomy places the organism in Eukaryota, Metazoa, Chordata, Chondrichthyes, Orectolobiformes, Rhincodontidae. The record is from RefSeq and is a predicted model, not a curated record. The transcript is spliced from 3 exons.